UUUAUUGGAGAGUUUGAUCCUGGCUCAGGAUGAACGCUGGCGGCGUGCCUAAUACAUGCAAGUCGAGCGAAUGAAUUAAGAGCUUGCUCUUAUGAAGUUAGCGGCGGACGGGUGAGUAACACGUGGGUAACCUGCC
RNAcentral lists this ribosomal RNA (136 nucleotides) under Bacillus sp. Xin. Its description in RNAcentral is "partial 16S ribosomal RNA". It matches the Rfam family "Bacterial small subunit ribosomal RNA", at positions 1 to 130 of the family's 1533-position model. Lineage: Bacteria; Bacillati; Bacillota; Bacilli; Caryophanales; Bacillaceae. The record is from RNAcentral.